AACUUGGACUGUAUUCCCUUGUUCUCCAGGUGGGCGCCUGACUGCUAAAACUUGAACUAUUUUUCCUUGUUUUCCAGGUGGGCACCUGAUUUCCAAAACAUGAAAUGUAUUCCCUAGUUCUCCAGAUGGGCGCCUGAUUGCCGAAUCUUAGACUUUAUUCCCUUGUUCUCCAGGUGGGAGCCUGAUUGCCAAAACUUUAACUGUAUUCCCUUGUUUUCCAAGUGGGUACCUGAAUGCCAAAACUUUAAUUGUAUUCCCUUGAUCUCUAGGUGGUCGCAUAAUUGCCAAAACUUGAACAGGAUUCUCUUGUUCUCCAGGUGGGCACCUGUUUGCUAAAACUUGAACUGUAUUCCCUUGUUCUCCAGGUGGGCGUCUGACUGCUAAAACGUGAACUGUAUUCCCUUUUUCUCCAAGUGGGCGCCUGAUUGCUAAUACUUAAACUAUAUUCCCUUGUUUUCCAGGUGGAGGCAUGAUUUCCAAAACUUGAAAUGUAAUCCCUUGUUCUCUAGGUGGGCGCCUGAUUGCUAAAACUUGAACUGUAUUCCCUUGUUAUCCAGGUGGGCUCCUGAUUGCUAAAACUUGAAUUGUAUUCCUUCAUUUUGCAGGGGGGCACCUGAUUGGUAAAACUUGAACUGUAUUCCCUUGUUCUCCAGGUGGGCGCCUGAUUGCCAAAACUUGAACUGUAUUUUCUUGUUCUUUAGGUGGGUGCCUAAUUGCAAAAAAUUGAACUGUAUUCCCUUGUUCUCUAGGUGGGCGCCUGAUUGCUAAAACUUGAAAUGUAUUCCAUUGUUCUCCAGGUGGGCGUCUGAAUGCUAAAACUUGAAUUGUAUUCCCUUGUUUUGCAGGUGGGCGCCUGAUUUCCAAAACUUGAAAUGUAUUCCCUUGUUCUCCAGGUGGGCGCCUGAUUGCUAAAACUUGAACAGUAUUCCCUUGUUCUCCAAGUUGGCGCCUGAUUGCUAAAACUUGAACUGUAUUCUCUUAUUUUCCAGGUGGGUGCCUGAUUGCCGAAACUCGAACUGUAUUUCCUUGUUCUCAAGGUUGUGCUUGAUUGCCAAAACUUGAAUCUGUAUUCCUUUAUUUUCUAGGUGGGCGCCUGAUUGCUUAAACUUCAACUGUAUUUACUUGUUCUCCUGGUGGGCGCAUGAUUGCUAAAACAUGAACUAUCUUCCCUUGUACUCCAGGUGGGUGCCUGAUUGCUAAAACUUGAACUAUAUUCCCUUUAUUUCCAGGUGGGUACCUGAUUACUAAAACUUUAAUUGUACUCCCUUAUUUUCCAGGCGGGCGCCUAAUUUCAAAAACAUUAAAUGUAUUCCCUUGUUCUCCAGGUGUGCACCUGAUUGGCGAAACUUGGACUGUAUUCCCUUGUUCUCCAGGUGGGCGCCUGACUGCUAAAACUUGAACUAUUUUUCCUUGUUUUCCAGGUGGGCACCUGAUUUCCAAAACAUGAAAUGUAUUCCCUAGUUCUCCAGAUGGGCGCCUGAUUACUGAAUCUUAGACUUUAUUCCCUUGUUCUCCAGGUGGGAGCCUGAUUGCCAAAACUUUAACUGUAUUCCCUUGUUUUCCAAGUGGGUACCUGAAUGGCAAAACUUUAUUUGUAUUCCCUUGAUCUCUAGGUGGUCGCCUGAUUGCCAAAACUUGAUUAGGAUUCCCUUGUUCUCCAGGUGGGCACCUAUUUCCUAAAUCUUGGACUAUAUUCCCUUGUUCUCGAGGUGGGUGCCUGAUUGCAAAAACUUGAACUGUAUUCCCUUGUUCUCCAGGUGGGCGUCUGGUUGCUAAAAUGUGAACUGUAUUCCCUUGUUCUCCAAGUGGGCGCUUGAUU
Molecule: long non-coding RNA, 1819 nt
Filed under: Nicotiana tabacum (common tobacco)
Lineage: Eukaryota; Viridiplantae; Streptophyta; Magnoliopsida; Solanales; Solanaceae
Description: long non-coding RNA (NTAB_LNC010025)
Source: RNAcentral